GUGCCAGCAGCCGCGGUAAUACGUAGGGUGCAAGCGUUAUCCGGAAUCAUUGGGCGUAAAGCGUUCGUAGGCUGUUUUGUAAGUUCACCGUUAAAUCUGGUCGCUCAACGAUCAACACGUGGUGAAAACUACUUAACUAGAGUUUGGCAGGGGCAACUGGAAUUUCGCAUGUAGGGGUAAAAUCCGUUGAUAUGCGAAGGAACACCAAAAGCGAAGGCAGGUUGCUGGGCCAUUUCUGACGCUGAGGAACGAAAGCGUGGGGAGCAAACAGGAUUAGAUACCCUGGUAGUCCACGCCGUAAACGAUGGAUACUCGGUGUAUGAGGGAAUCGACCCCCUUAUGUACCCAAGCUAACGCGUUAAGUAUCCCGCCUGGGGAGUACGGUCGCAAGAUUAAAACUCAAAAGGAAUAGACGGGGACCCACACAAGCGGUGGAGCAUGUGGUUUAAUUUCGAUAAUAAACGGGG
Molecule: ribosomal RNA, 467 nt
Filed under: uncultured bacterium
Lineage: Bacteria
Description: bacterial SSU rRNA
Rfam family: Bacterial small subunit ribosomal RNA
Source: RNAcentral